This 128-nucleotide ribosomal RNA is filed under the name Rhodococcus sp. SMB37. The record is from RNAcentral. Lineage: Bacteria; Bacillati; Actinomycetota; Actinomycetes; Mycobacteriales; Nocardiaceae.
UACGGCGGUUAUAGCGAUGGGGAAACGCCCGGUCCCAUUCCGAACCCGGAAGCUAAGCCUGUCUGCGCCGAUGGUACUGCACUCGACAGGGUGUGGGAGAGUAGGACGCCGCCGAACACCCGUUUGCG